Brachypodium distachyon (stiff brome) is the source of this 1647-nucleotide long non-coding RNA. RefSeq lists it as uncharacterized. The transcript has 3 exons. The record is from RefSeq and is a predicted model, not a curated record. Lineage: Eukaryota; Viridiplantae; Streptophyta; Magnoliopsida; Poales; Poaceae.
CCAAUACCUAUUUUUUUUUAGAAAGUCCAAUACCAACUCGAUCGGCUCACCGCCAACCCUUUGGCUAUGGCUAGCCGGUUCUGAUGAGAGCUCUAGGUUUGGCAUCGAGGACCCAGAGGGCAUCCUGAGCACGCCGCAGCCCGGCACAUUGCACGCCUCGAGUUCCACCAGUUGAACAGGUUCUUGGCCUGCAUUAGAACUUAUCUCGGAAACAUCUUGGUUUGCUGUGGUCAGUUCAUCCUCCAUCAGUUGAUCAUGGUGUUGGUGCCCAGUUGAAAAUGAGAUAUUUGUGACGCCACAAUAAGUUACUCCCUCCGUUCAAUGAUUCUUGUCAAAAUAUUACAUGUAUCUAGACGCUUUUUAGAAAUAGAUACAUCCAUUUUUGGGCAAAUUUGAGACAAGAAUUAUCGAAUGGAGGGAGUAUUUUGAAGAAUACUUGAACAGGUUCUUAGUCUAAUUAAUUCCAAUCUGUAGUGAAACAUGCCCAAGUUAAUCACACAAUAGUAAAUUAACUGUGCAACACUAUAAGUAUUGCUUGACCCAUGUUUGCUACUUGCUAUGAUUUUUGCAGGCACAAAAUAGUAAUAGUCGAAGGAAAUUAUUUCUUGCUGAAAGAAAAUAUUUGGACAGACAUUAGAGACAUGGAGAGAUCCAUGGGCCGAAUACCUUGCAAGAUCGAGACACUAAGGUGAAUCCCAAUCUCUCGCCGUCGAGAUAUGGCAGAGUGGAUCGAGGUUGGCACAAUAAUUUAUCUGGCGAGAUCGAGGAGAUUGAUGAGGCGAGCAUACCGCUGGCGAUCGGAGAAGCGGAAGACGGGGUCACACAAGCAUCGGCGGCCGUCGGACCCGCGCAGGCGAUACGCUGCGUGGAACGAGGGAGGCGUCGGUGGCUACUGCUUGCGUGCCGACUGUAUCAAAUUGGAGCUGGGAAACAUCAGUCCAGGUGGCCAUCGACGCACUGGAAGAGGAACCAAAUCGCCACCGCUGCUGCUGUCAUUUUAUUUUGACCAUAUGUUAGCUUCCUAUCCAUCAGCACAUGACUAUGCCUCCUUAUCCAUGAUAUCAUGUUCCAGGCAUUUGUGCCUUACGAGUAGUCCAGUUAGGAAAGGAACUGGAAUUAAUCUGCCGAACGUCAGGUUAGGGAAGGUUAUCUGCUCAAGUAAGUUUAUGAUCAAUCAACUCAAGCUAAGGUUGAUUUGAUUGAGGUGCAGAUGUUUUACUUUCAACUUUGUGCAAUUGAAGUUUUUUUGUGUCGCAUCUGACUCUUGAAGCGCGACAAUGACGCAAGGCUGUAUGGAGAGAAAUACAAGGACUACAAUGCUAUUGUGAAUCAGACCAUAGGGAUGCAGUAAGUGUUCUGGAAAGAUUGUAUGUUUUAUUGUUUGAUGAAUGGAAAGGAAACCAUCCUUACCAGAUUCCAAAUACAUAAUUUUUCUGUAAUAAUGCAACAAAGGUCCUUUAUAUGCAUAGUUUCCUAGAAUUUCUUUGAGCGGAGCAUAGCGGUCCGUGGCAGCUGCUGCAGUUUGUAAAUUUUAAGUACUCAUUUUGGAUGGGGAACUGGCUCGAGAUUUAUCUCUGGAACUGUUAUUCGUUUAGUGGUUUUCUAGGAGUAAGUAACCUGUAGCAAUAAAGGAGCGUUUUUUUUUUC